This 714-nucleotide unclassified non-coding RNA is filed under the name Cephalomappa sinensis. RNAcentral describes it as "partial contains small subunit ribosomal RNA, internal transcribed spacer 1, 5.8S ribosomal RNA, internal transcribed spacer 2, and large subunit ribosomal RNA". The stretch from base 319 to 471 matches the Rfam family "5.8S ribosomal RNA". Lineage: Eukaryota; Viridiplantae; Streptophyta; Magnoliopsida; Malpighiales; Euphorbiaceae. The record is from RNAcentral.
CAUUUAGAGGAAGGAGAAGUCGUAACAAGGUUUCCGUAGGUGAACCUGCGGAAGGAUCAUUGUCGAAACCUGCCCUGCAGAACGACCCGCGAACGUGUUUUAUAAAUUAAGGGAGAGCAGGGGUCUUGCACCCUUGCUCUCCCAUCGCCGGUGCGAGAGGCGUGAAGGGCUUUAGCUCCUCUACCUCUAUCAUCGGCACACUAACCAACCCCCGGCGCAGGACGCGCCAAGGAACAUGAAAUGAAAAGAGCAUGCUGCCAUAGGCCCCGGAAACGGUGAUGCCUGAGGCAUGCGUUGUCCUCUUUUAAUAACUAAAACGACUCUCGGCAACGGAUAUCUCGGCUCUCGCAUCGAUGAAGAACGCAGCAAAAUGCGAUACUUGGUGUGAAUUGCAGAAUCCCGUGAAUCAUCGAGUUUUUGAACGCAAGUUGCGCCCGAAGCUUCGGCCAGGGCACGUCUGCCUGGGUGUCACGCAACCGUCGCCCCCAACCUUUACGGGGCGGAUGUUGGCCUCCCGUGAGCCAUAGCUAGCGGUUGGCCUAAAACCAGAGUCCAUGGCGACGAUCGCCACGACAUUCGGUGGUUGUAAGACUCUCUGAAAACUGUCGUGCGCGAUUCGUCUGCUGUAAGGGACCCGAGACCCCGAUGCAUUCCCAAAGGGUAAUGCUCCGACUGCGACCCCAGGUCAGGCGGGAUUACCCGCUGAGUUUAAGC